AGUGAACGCUGGCGGUAGGCCUAACACAUGCAAGUCGAACGGCAGCACAGUAAGAGCUUGCUCUUACGGGUGGCGAGUGGCGGACGGGUGAGGAAUACAUCGGAAUCUACUUUUUCGUGGGGGAUAACGUAGGGAAACUUACGCUAAUACCGCAUACGACCUACGGGUGAAAGCAGUGGAUCUUCGCACCUUGCGCGAUUGAAUGAGCCGAUGUCGGAUUAGCUAGUUGGCGGGGUAAAGGCCCACCAAGGCGACGAUACGUAGCUGGUCUGAGAGGAUGAUCAGCCACACUGGAACUGAGACACGGUCCAGACUCCUACGGGAGGCAGCAGUGGGGAAUAUUGGGCAAUGGGCGCGAGCCUGAUCCAGCCAUACCGCGUGGGUGAAGAAGGCCUUCGGGUUGUAAAGCCCUUUUGUUGGGAAAGAAAAGCAGCAGGUUAAUACCCCGCUGUUCUGACGGUACCCAAUGAAUAAGCACCGGCUAACUUCGUG
This 492-nucleotide ribosomal RNA is filed under the name uncultured bacterium. RNAcentral's name for it is "partial 16S ribosomal RNA". It matches the Rfam family "Bacterial small subunit ribosomal RNA", at positions 29 to 507 of the family's 1533-position model. The record is from RNAcentral.